Molecule: small nuclear RNA, 25 nt
Filed under: Arabidopsis thaliana (thale cress)
Lineage: Eukaryota; Viridiplantae; Streptophyta; Magnoliopsida; Brassicales; Brassicaceae
Description: snRNA_12309
Source: RNAcentral
AUGUCUUUUGAUGUAGUGAACAUCU